This 408-nucleotide ribosomal RNA is filed under the name uncultured bacterium. Its description in RNAcentral is "partial 16S ribosomal RNA". It matches the Rfam family "Bacterial small subunit ribosomal RNA", at positions 28 to 526 of the family's 1533-position model. The record is from RNAcentral.
GACGAACGCUGGCGGCGUGCCUAAUACAUGCAAGUAGAACGCAGUUGCGCACGGGUGAGUAACGCGUAGGUAACCUGCCUCCUAGCGGGGGGUAACUAUUGGGAACGAUAGCUACUACCGCAUAUUGUGAGAUGGACCUGCGUUGUAUUAUCUAGUUGGUUAGGUAAAGGCUCACCAAGGCGACGAUACAUAACCGGCCUGGGAGGGUGAACCGCCACAAUGGGACUGGUAAACAGGCCAAGCUCCUAAUGGAGGGAGCAAUAGGGAAACUUCGGGAAAGGACGGAAGGCUGACCGAGCAACGGCGCGGGAGGGAAGAAGGUGCUCGGGUUGGAAAAGUGUUGUGUUAGGGAAGCGGUAACUAAAGAGAAAGGGAAGGCCAACUACGUGCCAGCAGCCGCGGUAAUAC